Long non-coding RNA from Populus nigra (black poplar), 775 nucleotides. RefSeq lists it as uncharacterized. NCBI's taxonomy places the organism in Eukaryota, Viridiplantae, Streptophyta, Magnoliopsida, Malpighiales, Salicaceae. The record is from RefSeq and is a predicted model, not a curated record. The transcript is spliced from 3 exons.
UCUUAAGUGGCUCGUCUCUCCUCUCUGUGUUCCGUUGUAGUUCAGUUGCCAUCCAACUAAGUUAAGGUGUCCUGCUCCAGCUCUUUUUAGAUUGGGUAACUCCUUUUUAAUGUUGUUUUGCCAAGGUGCUUGAGGUGGGGGUUUAUAAGCUCUCUAUAUUUUCUCGUGUGCCAUUGGCGGACGUUGCCAUUGCUCUGCUUUGUGGGUUUGUAGGUGUCUGUUCACAGACAACAUGUUGCCACCCAAUCUUUUCCCCGAAGUUAAGAGCAGGGGAAAAAAAAAGAUGUCCUAAGGGGAAGCAACGACCGUUAGCUCAUAUCAGACCAAAAUUCUCCACGGGCUCUAUAGAUAAGUUUAGGAAGUUACAAGCAUGCGAGGUUGACAUGGGAAGAAAAUUCAGGCUUGAAAACAAUUUGGAGCGUCCGGAAUCUGGGCAAACUUUUUGGCGAGACUGAUUAAACUUCAUUAAUCAAAAUCCCCGCUUAUUCUAUCCUUAUUUCAGAAAAUGGUGAAGCCCAGCUAGCAUGUGAUUCAGUGGAGUUAUUGGCAUAUUAAUCAAAGCAUUUGGAGCUACAUAAAACUACCAACAUAGAUCAUUGAAACUUUGUAUGUUAUACAUCAAAGCAGAAUCCUCCAGAGGUAAAUCUCAUACACUGCUAAAGGUAAGGACAAGAUAACUUCAUGUAUUGAUGAUGGCACUAUAAUAUCUGUACAUUCCACAGGACAAGCAGGAAUUAAUUGCUAUAAAACCUUCAACAUGAAUUGAUUCCGAUUA